Molecule: transfer RNA, 73 nt
Filed under: archaeon CG2_30_31_98
Lineage: Archaea
Also listed under: 2 other names
Description: tRNA-Thr
Rfam family: tRNA
About the family: Transfer RNA (tRNA) molecules are approximately 80 nucleotides in length. Their secondary structure includes four short double-helical elements and three loops (D, anti-codon, and T loops). Further hydrogen bonds mediate the characteristic L-shaped molecular structure. tRNAs have two regions of fundamental functional importance: the anti-codon, which is responsible for specific mRNA codon recognition, and the 3' end, to which the tRNAs corresponding amino acid is attached (by aminoacyl-tRNA synthetases). tRNAs cope with the degeneracy of the genetic code in two manners: having more than one tRNA (with a specific anti-codon) for a particular amino acid; and 'wobble' base-pairing, i.e. permitting non-standard base-pairing at the 3rd anti-codon position.
Source: RNAcentral
GCCCUAGUAGCUCAGUUGGUAGAGCGGCUGACUUGUAAUCAGCAGGCCGGGAGUCCAACUCUCCCCUAGGGCU